This 465-nucleotide ribosomal RNA is filed under the name uncultured bacterium. RNAcentral describes it as "partial 16S ribosomal RNA". It matches the Rfam family "Bacterial small subunit ribosomal RNA", at positions 29 to 507 of the family's 1533-position model. The record is from RNAcentral.
ACGAACGCUGGCGGCGCGCCUAACCCAUGCAAGUCGAACGAGCGAGAGAGAGCUUGCUUUCUCGAGCGAGUGGCGAACGGGUGAGUAACGCGUGAGGAACCUGCCUCAAAGAGGGGGACAACAGUUGGAAACGACUGCUAAUACCGCAUAAGCCCACGACCCGGCAUCGGGUAGAGGGAAAAGGAGCAAUCCGCUUUGAGAUGGCCUCGCGUCCGAUUAGCUAGUUGGUGAGGUAACGGCCCACCAAGGCGACGAUCGGUAGCCGGACUGAGAGGUUGAACGGCCACAUUGGGACUGAGACACGGCCCAGACUCCUACGGGAGGCAGCAGUGGGGAAUAUUGCACAAUGGGGGAAACCCUGAUGCAGCGACGCCGCGUGGAGGAAGAAGGUCUUCGGAUUGUAAACUCCUGUUGUUGAGGAAGAUAAUGACGGUACUCAACAAGGAAGUGACGGCUAACUACGUG